ACGCUCGACACCUACGGGUGGCAGCAGUCGGGAAUAUUGCGCAAUGGAGGAAACUCUGACGCAGUGACGCCGCGUGCAGGAAGAAGGUUUUCGGAUUGUAAACUGCUUUAGACAGGGAAGAAGAAGUGACAGUACCUGUAGAAUAAGCUCCGGCUAACUACGUCCCAGCAGCCGCGGUAAUCUGAGCGGGCUGGCAAGGC
RNAcentral lists this ribosomal RNA (200 nucleotides) under uncultured bacterium. RNAcentral describes it as "partial 16S ribosomal RNA". It matches the Rfam family "Bacterial small subunit ribosomal RNA", at positions 328 to 539 of the family's 1533-position model. The record is from RNAcentral.